GAAAGACAUAUAAUUAAAAAAUUGAAGGUUGAAACUGAGUGCUAUAAGGUAAGAUUGCUCAAAAAGCAAGCAAAGAAAAAGAAGGAAAAUUUACCGCAGACCGCUGAGCGGUUGUGGCGCGAUGAGUCUCGGCUUUUCUUAAAAGCUGAGCGGUUUUUGAAGUUCUUCACUUUGAAACUCUUCUUUGCAUUUCGCCUGAGCGGUCUCCCUAAGCCCUAACACUCUUCUUUCACUUUCAAGAGCUUUUUAGAGAGAUUUCCUCACUUUCUCAUCACCCACUCACCAAAAAUACAAUUUUCUACCAUUGUUGAGUC
This 314-nucleotide long non-coding RNA is filed under the name Vigna radiata. RNAcentral's name for it is "long non-coding RNA (VRAD_LNC014660)". The record is from RNAcentral. Lineage: Eukaryota; Viridiplantae; Streptophyta; Magnoliopsida; Fabales; Fabaceae.